GAUGAACGCUGGCGGCGUGCCUAAUACAUGCAAGUCGAGCGAACGGACGAGAAGCUUGCUUCUCUGAUGUUAGCGGCGGACGGGUGAGUAACACGUGGAUAACCUACCUAUAAGACUGGGAUAACUUCGGGAAACCGGAGCUAAUACCGGAUGAUAUUUUGAACCGCAUGGUUCAAAAGUGAAAGACGGUCUUGCUGUCACUUAUAGCUGGAUCCGCGCUGCAUUAGCUAGUUGGUAAGGUAACGGCUUACCAAGGCAACGAUGCAUAGCCGACCUGAGAGGGUGAGCGGCCACACUGGAACUGAGACACGGUCCAGACUCCUACGGGAGGCAGCAGUAGGGAAUCUUCCGCAAUGGGCGAAAGCCUGACGGAGCAACGCCGCGUGAGUGAUGAAGGUCUUCGGAUCGUAAAACUCUGUUAUUAGGGAAGAACAUAUGUGUAAGUAACUGUGCACAUCUUGACGGUACCUAAUCAGAAAGCCACGGCUAACUACGUG
This 497-nucleotide ribosomal RNA is filed under the name uncultured bacterium. RNAcentral's name for it is "partial 16S ribosomal RNA". It matches the Rfam family "Bacterial small subunit ribosomal RNA", at positions 28 to 507 of the family's 1533-position model. The record is from RNAcentral.